ACUGAACAGUUAGCACGGGACUCAGAAUGCACAAGUGCUGUGUCUCUGUGUACUUGAACUUGGUGAGGGAAGACAGAAGCGAGAGCAUGGGAAGACACGGCAAGCAUGGUCCCAUGCACGCGUGCAAGUUACUCAGACUCCUGACAGAUGAGUCUUUCCAGGAUUAAAUACUAAUGCUUUGGAAGAUGUGAUACCAUCUCUCAAAAGUCCUUAGAGUCAUAACGACCCUAUGGGGAUGAGAAGCUACGGAAUCUUCAGGAAGAGGAGGGAAAGGAGGAGAACGUGUGUGGUUAAACGGCUCCACAGAGGUUAUGGCAUCUCUGCUAACCACGACGGGAGGUAAUGUCUGAAACUCCAAUCAUUAUGAAAUAUGACAAGCUUUUCUAUUAAACGAGGCGAAGCCCAAAUUCUCCACAGUGGUCUGACUGUGCUGCUUAUGAACUGAAAGCUGUGGAUGUAACCACUGCCCAUCUGAGGAACGUCUCCCUCUUGCAUGCUUCGUCCAGAAUGUCAAUGAUCUAACCUGCAUUGCAGCCAUUUACAGAGACAGUGCUGUCUUCAGGGACACGGCCCUGGUAGUUCGAGAUGGGCCUUGGUCGUUUCAAACCCACCAUGGCUUCUUCAGCGGUGAACAUUUAGUUUACCUGGGCUCACACCCCUUAACUUGUACUUGGACAGACCUGAGAGCUCAGUAAGUCAGAACUGCCAACUUUUGCAUGGUUUCUUCCCAUAACCAUCAAUCCCCCUGGCAAGGGGGGACUAAACCUUGCUUUGCCCCGUGUCACCCACAAAGAUGAUGAAUCUUUCACUGCACUGUGGCCAAGGAUGACGUCCCUCAGCAAAUGUAAACCCAGUGGCAGCUUUCUGCCAGCUGUAAUUUGGAGGAUCACAUUCUUUUCACCAGUAUGGCACAUUUCCUCCAUUGGCUGCUUGAGCCAGUAGCUUCUAAAACAUCUGAUGCCAAGAGCCUGCUCCGUCAGUAAAAACGCCUUUCUUUCUGGUUUUCCAAUGCCCACUCUUCCUUGCCUUGGUCGGCAUUGGUACCAUAUCAAUAAAGUCAUCAAGCCUCGGGGAGGAGGAGACAACUUGCCUCCCAAAAAGCAGCAUGUUUUUCUGAAGAGAUGUUCAGCUGAAACCAAAGGAGAGAUCAUAAAAACACAGUCGGUGUGAACAAGCCAAUAAACUUGAGUGCUUCUAAGAGCUAUGAAUACUUCUAGCUGAAAGGAAGCUUGGACAGAGUUGAGAAGAUAUAAAACAUAGCUGACAGCUCAGAUCCUGCCAUGAACAGAAACAGCAGCUGGGAGGUGCGCACAUCAGAAACAGCCACCUGGCCUUCACAGCAUGGAAAGAACAGAGUGGUCAAAGAAUGACCCCGGAGCAGCACAAAUAGACUUUGAAAAGAUUGCGGAGGGGGACAAUGCCAAGCUGAAAUGACAGCCAACGGUUUCAGUGUUUCUGUAGUGCCGUAUUCAUCUGAGGAGGUAAGAGAAACACAUCCACACUGGAUCCCAGACAGAAGGGAGCCCAGGUUUACGUGCCCCUCUCUGCCAAGGACAGUAGGCUCUUUCUCGCCCAUAAAUCAAACAGCUGUCAGGCCUACUGACAACAUCACAGCUUGAGGAGUGAAGAAAAAAAUCAAAUUGUAGAAGGUUUUGUUUGUUUCGUAGUAGAAAAUAUAUUCAAAGCUUAUCCAUUGCAAUGUCUGAGGAUGAGUGCUGUUUGCAAAGAAAAAAUAUAUGUAAAGAAAAAAACUGUUAUGUCCACGAUAAUGAAUUUGGCGGCAAUCAAAUUAGAAAAUGCAGGCAGAGGUGCUUGGCAAAUUGUGAAGCAAAAGAGAUUUCCAUGGUGGCUGCUAUUAGAAUCCGCAGUCUCAUGCUUCUGUCUUGCCUGUAGGAAAACCAGUCUGAGGACAGCUUGUCUUUCUCAAGAUCAAGAAGUCCCUUGCUCAUAAAGCUCAGAAGGCUCGACUCUGCCUGCCAAAGAAACUGGUUUCACCUUUUGGACUUUCUUUCAAAGACUUCCCAUUUUGACACGUUUGCCUUUCAAAUCCUAUCAACUCUUAAUUACCGGGCAGCCACAGAGGUCAAGACAGUACAGUCAGGGUUGAUGACGACAGAGGUCUGUUCUGAGAAACGUGCAGUUGGGUGACUCCUCACUGUACUCACAGCAUACAGUGGACUCAUCCAUUGAACGGCAGAGGUCAACCCCUUGAGCUGGCCUCUGGAUUCAGACACAGAAAACAAGACGUCUAGAGGGCUGAUACCGCACAAUGCAUGCUAGCCUAAUCAUUUCUCUAAGUAGGAAAAUGCUCUGAAAUAAUGGCAAAUGAUAUAGUAGACACAGUUACCAUCAUUUUCAAGGAUUGUGACCAAAUACCUUAGCAUGCUACACCUUUUUCAACGGUGUGGGUGCUAUGGGGGUUUGUAUCAGCUUUGCCCCAAACACAUGAGUAAAAUAUUCACUGUGCUAUGUACUAUGUACGCAGCACUGCCAGCUCUAUCAUCUGUGGACCUUCAUGUUUGUGACUCACAGUUAUUAAGAGGGUGUGAAGCAUGUGACUCCAGGGCUUGGGGCACAGGCAUAAUCAUAAAAUGAUCUAAUUCUUAAAGAACUUCACAAUCUACCAACGUUUUAUAUGAACAUCAGUACACACUUAAACAUAUUGCCCUGUGGUACCCUAAACUUAGGCACCACUUUUCUGCUUCAGCAUCCUUUUUAUUCCUCUUCCCUUACCUGACACACCUCCCACCAUCACUGCCUUUGUCUUUAGAAGUCUUACUCACUAUGGUGGUUUGAAAGAAAAUGCCCCCCCCCCCAGGACUUACAGGGAGCGGCACAAUUAGGAGGUGUGGCCUUGCUGGAGUAGAUAUGGCUUUGUUGGAGAAGGUGUGACCCUAGGGGCAGGCUUUGAGGUCUCAGAUGGUCAAGCCAGGCCAGUGGCUCAUAGGCUCUUCCUGGUGCUUGCCAAUCUGGAUGUAGAACUCUCAGCACCUUCUCCAGCAGCAUGCCUGCUACCUGCUGCCAUGUUUCCCACCAUGACGAUAAUGCACUAAACCUCUGAACUGUAAGCCAGCCCCAAGUAAAUGUUUUCCCUUACAAGAGUUACUGUGCUCAUGGUGACUCUUCACAGCAAUAAAACUCCAACUGAAACACUGACCCUUCCACAACCAAAUCAAAUACAUUUUAUCGUCCUCUCCAUCUCUGCCCCCUCUCCCUCCCUAGCUCUACUGCAUUGCAUUGUACUACGCUGUGUUGUGUUGUAUUUUUGCAGAGUUGGGGAUUCAACUCUGAGACUUGUGAACAUAUAAACACUACCACUGAGAACCCACAAACCCUUUUACAGAAAUCUCUCCACAUACUACUAGACCUGCAGUUCUCUGCCAGGGACAUUUUUCUUCCAGAUUCCUGUCUUUGGUGUCUAGAGGCACUUUUGAUUUUAACAAAGAAAACUGAGUAUUUGUGGUGAUUACUAUUAAUUGUAGUGUGACAGAAUCCAAAGGCCUCAAGGCAUCAAUUGAUGUGGGAAGAGCAACCUUAACUAUGGGUGUGGCCAUUCUCUGGGCUGGGGACCUGGACUGCAUAAAUAGAGAAAAUGAACUAAAAAGCAGUUUCCACUCUUCCCUCUCUGUUUCCCAAUUGUGUGUUUUGAGUGCUUCAACCUCCUGCUACCUUGGCUUCCCAGCAUGGAAGACUGUACCUUGAACUGUGAACUAAACAAACCCUUUCUCCCUAAAGUUGCCUUUGUCACGUUAUUGUUGUUGUUGUUGUUUUUACAGCAACAAGAAAAUAGAUCACAACGGUCCUAUUGGUGUGUAUGAAUGAACCAGAGACGCUGGGGUUGAAGAGAUAGCACAAUAGUUAAAAGCACUUGUUCUUGCAAAGGGUCUGGAUUUGACUCCCAGCACCUACAAAGAGGCUCAUCACGUCCUUAUGUACCACACUGCAUGUACCUAAUACACACACACACACACAAACACACAUACACAUAACAAAUAAAGAAAAAAAACAAAACAGAAAUGUUACUAAGCUCCUACAAUACACAAACCACCACAAUAAGGAAUAUACAGGCCAAAUGUCAGUGUCUAUGUGUGUGUGCUCUCUCCCUCCUUCUCCCCCUCCCCCUCGGUGUGUGUGUGUGUUUGUGUGUGUGUGUGUGUGUGUGUGUGUGUGUCGCUGGUGGCUAAACUGUGGCUCAGGCACGCUAAGCACAGACUCGACUACUGACAGCCGUCAGAACAAAGGUUCAUGGGGCCUCACAGGCCAACAACGCUCAGACUGAGACUCUCUGUACAAGAAACAAGAUGCCCUCUGAACUCACAGAAAACCAAACAUGAAUUAUCUUUUAGCAUAUAGUUUAUUUGAUGUAUUUACAAAAUACACACACUAAAUACUCAGUUAAAUCAAAAUUUCCAAUGAAGGCCAAGUAAAAUUUACUAUAAAUAUGUCUCAAUC
Molecule: long non-coding RNA, 4452 nt
Organism: Mus musculus (house mouse)
Lineage: Eukaryota; Metazoa; Chordata; Mammalia; Rodentia; Muridae
Product: predicted gene, 35261
Exons: 3
Source: RefSeq, a predicted model, not a curated record